UGAAUUUGGUUUUGGUUCUUUUCUUAGCUUUAGUUAUAUUUAAACACAUGGUAUCUUGCGAUGUCCGGUGAGUGGGUCUAUUAUUUUCUUUUUUAAUUAAAUAUUUUUGAGAUAUGUAGGCUUGUGUAUAAUUUUUUAAAUAUUACAUUUAAUAUAUUCACAGGUACGCCAGUGUUGGAUAUUAGAAAAUAAAUUUGUGUUUGCUCUAGUAAUUGGCUGUGAAGAUCUGGUUAAGUUUGUGCCAGCCACCGCGGUUAGACAAACAGAUCAAGUUAAGAUUUUUUGGUAUAAAAGGAGGUUAAGAAGAAGUAAUUAUUAGAAGGUGUAUUUUCUAGUGUAGGAGUGGAAUCUGUACAUUGGUUGGUUUAUUUUUACUUUCUUUGUCUGAUGCCUCGAAAUUUUUAUUAAAGACCGGGAUUAGAUACCCCGUUAUUUUGAAUAUAAAUAAUGAUCAUUAAUAUGAUUUACCUGAGUAUUACGAGUUGAAAAGUAUUUUAGGAACUUAAAACUCAAAAAACUUGGCGGUGCCUUAAUCCCUUCCAGGGGAACCUGUCCUGUAAAUGAUAGUCCACGAUUUAGCUUACUUUUUUUUGUAUAAGCCAAUAGGCUGAACAGUUUGUAUACCGUCGUUGUCAGAGAACCUUUGAGGGAAAAGUAGUUUUCAGUGUAAGUAGGUUAUAGUCUUAGCUAAUAGGAGUAUUAAUAAUUUUUAGAUAUCAGAUCAAGGUGCAGCUAAUGAAAAAGUAGAGAUGGGUUACAAUAUUAAGUUAAUAUAUGGAUUUUUAGGUUGUAAUACCUGAAUGAAGGCGGACUUGGGAGUAAUUUAAAUGAUUUAAGUAGUGAGUUUAUGUGAAAAAGGUACUAAGGUGCGUACAAAUCGCCCGUCGCUCUCGUCGGAAGAUGAGAUAAGUCGUAACAUAGUGAGGGUACCGGAAGGUGUUCUGGGAAAAU
This 951-nucleotide ribosomal RNA is filed under the name Umbonium thomasi. Its description in RNAcentral is "12S ribosomal RNA". Lineage: Eukaryota; Metazoa; Mollusca; Gastropoda; Trochida; Trochidae. The record is from RNAcentral.